This is a long non-coding RNA of Papaver somniferum (opium poppy), 1889 nucleotides long. RefSeq lists it as uncharacterized. NCBI's taxonomy places the organism in Eukaryota, Viridiplantae, Streptophyta, Magnoliopsida, Ranunculales, Papaveraceae. The record is from RefSeq and is a predicted model, not a curated record. The transcript is spliced from 8 exons.
UCACCAAUAAUAGGUCACACAACACUGUGGUCUAUUCUGGGCUUUACCUUAAUAGUUUCUACCCAAACUGGUAACAGUGUUAAUAGACCACAAAAACGUGUGAUCUUAAUGUUUAUCACUGGAUCACCUAGGUACUAUAUUUAAGCGGUGGUUCAAACCUAGAUUCAAUAUUAUUUUCUUUUUCUCUCUCCUCUCGUUCCCUUCUCCAGGAAUCCCACAGGAAAAAUCUGAAACCCUCGAUCUUAAUGUUUAAGUUUCAUAUCACUGUUCCAGUACUUUCAAAAUUGAUGGAGAAAUUUGAGUAUGAGUUCAUUUUGAAUUCAAAGGUUAGGGUUUGAUUGAUGGUUUCUUAGCAUCUCUUAAUCCUCCGAUUUAAUUGCGAUCGCCAAUGUUCAACAUCAUCAAUGGUUUGAUGUUGUCUUCGGUUGUAUAGAUGGAGGUUUUCCUUCACGAAUUAAUAUCAGCUUAAUACAAAUGCAUUUAAUGAAUACUAUCAAAGCAGGAGAGCUGUUAAUUCUGAGACCAUGAUUGGGUUGACAAGCAAAUUGGUCACCACUUUAGGAGUGAUUGAUUUAGUUCAUCUGGUGUAUGAAUGGCUAAGGAGAGCAAGAUGAUGAUUUGAAUUGUACUUGGAAAGUAAGGUCAGUUGAUGUCUGCAAUGUAGAAUGGAAAGCAAAUGGUGCAGGAGGGAGCUUUGGCAGCUCUAGUAUGAGUAGCUGAUUCGUCACAGGAAGUUUAGUAGAUUGAUGAAUCGAGGGUGAAGGUGAUGGUGCUGAACUUGAUUGAGAUCUUGAAGAAGAAGAAAAAGAAAUGGGUGUGAGAGGUUUAAUUUUGUGGUGUGAAUUUGAAAUGGAUUUGAGUCUGUUAUGAUGCUCGAUGUGAUGAAUUGAAGACUUUUAGAAGCUCAGAUUAUAAUGGAAGAACAAGGAGUAAUAGGUUGAUGUUGCGGUGAUUGAUUGGUUUCGAGAUAUCAAAACAGGGAUUUCUGAGCUCGAGUUCUGGUGGAUAUGAAGUUGAGUUUGAAGAACUAGAUGCUAAGAAGGAUGGGUUUGCUGAUUCCGAGAAGAACAAGAAUUUGCUGAUACUAGUUGUUGUGAUUGCAGAGAAGAUGCAAGUUACAGGAAAUGAGCUUUGGUGGUGAAUGAAUGGCAUGUGGUGUUGAUGCUUUUCAAUGAUGGAGACUCAGGUGAUGUGUGUUGUGUGGGUAUCAAUUGAACUCAGUUGCAGGGAAGUGACUGGUGGAGCAAAUGGAGACAAGUCUAGAGUUCUGGUGGCGCUUUUGUUGCAGUGGUGCUCCUACUGGUGAUGUUGGUGGUUCAAAACAAGGGCCAGAGUUGUUGUUGGAGUCAGAAAAUCUCCGUCAAGCUCAGCUGCAGGAUCUUCUUCAUUUCCGCGAAGUCCUGGAAGGGCAGAGACUUUGGUACUCCCUGGAUCGCGCCGGAAGAAGAGAAAGUGGCGAAAUGUGUGCAAUGAAGGAGGUUACACUUUUUGCUGAUGAUGCAAAGUCAAGAGAAAGUGCGAAGCAGCUGGAGCAAGUAAGACUUCCAAUAGAUUGUAGGAGCUUGGUUGUCUUCUUGUGUUCUAAAAAGAAGAAAAUGCAAAAGAAAAAAUUGGAUAAAGAAGAGUGGGUGACUGUUUAUGGGCUUGCAAUUUAUCGCAAUUCUUAUCUGGUGUACUGGGUGUUAUGGGUGCAAGGCUGGUGAUAAGAUACUGUGUGAUACAUGGAAGGCUAGGUUGUAAUGGGUAUUAUAGGUGCAAGGCUGGUGUUAAGAUACUGUGUGAUACAGGGAAGGCUAUGGUGGUGUUGGAAUUGGUCAAGAAGAUACAAAAGAAUGCAUAACCUGUUAUGCAUCAACAAAGUUUGUUGCAUAACUUGUUAUGCAAUUCAG